UACGGGGGGAGCAAGCGUUGUUCGGAUUUACUGGGCGUAAAGGGCGCGUAGGCGGCGCGGUAAGUAGGGUGUGAAACCCCUCGGCUCAACCGAGGAACUGCGCUCUAAACUACCGUGCUCGAGGGAGAUAGAGGUGAGCGGAACUUAGGGUGGAGCGGUGAAAUGCGUUGAUAUCCUAAGGAACACCGGUGGCGAAAGCGGCUCACUGGAUCUCUUCUGACGCUGAGGCACGAAAGCUAGGGUAGCGAACGGG
RNAcentral lists this ribosomal RNA (253 nucleotides) under uncultured bacterium. RNAcentral describes it as "partial 16S ribosomal RNA". It matches the Rfam family "Bacterial small subunit ribosomal RNA", at positions 524 to 776 of the family's 1533-position model. The record is from RNAcentral.